Molecule: long non-coding RNA, 4195 nt
Filed under: Bos grunniens (domestic yak)
Lineage: Eukaryota; Metazoa; Chordata; Mammalia; Artiodactyla; Bovidae
Description: lncRNA (ENSBGRG00000022539.1)
Source: RNAcentral
GCAGACUCUCUGCAGACAGAUGCCACAUUCCACACAAACUCACAGAGAUUGUGAACGACCCUCUGCCCAAAAGUCAAGUUAAGAACAUAGAGGGAUCCCUAGUGGGCCAGUGGCUAAGACUCCGUGCUCCCAAUGCAGGGGGCCCAGGUUCGAUCCCUGGUCAGGGAACUAGAUCCCACAUGCCCCAAUUAAGACCUGGCACAGCCAAAACAAAGAACGAACACAGAAAGUCUGCAGCAGCCUUUUGACUCUGACAAGCCAUAUCCUCACCAUCUAGACAGGACUGAAGCCACGAAGGUAUCGUCAGAGCACCCGGGGACCUCACCACCCCAGCGCCCGCAGGGCCUGUGGUAAAUCUUUAACUCCCAGACCUGCUGGCCUCAGGUGGAUUUGUGGACUUGCUGAGCUGUCAGGAGAAGCUCAGAGAGAAGCUGAGCCCGUCCUUUCCACCCCUCAGCCACAGUCUCCUUCUCCUCAGUCAGGAGUCUGCCAGGUUGGCCCUGGGCUGUCUCCCUGGGGCAGUCCUGGUAGUGGAGAUCCUUGAGGUACCCGCUUCUGGUCCUGUAUGCAGACAGGACCCCCAGGGCCAGGCGUGGGGGCCACUGCUGCACCCCAGGCCCCGUCCUGCGUGGUAUGAGCAUGAACACACUGUGGGCACGCACACAUCAGAAAGACCGGGGAGGACUGCACAGGAGGGCGGGCACACGAGGCUGUGGUCAGACGGGGCAGGAAGGCCGGGAGAAAAUGAUAGCACCCACCAGAGCUCCAGGCAGCCACUCAGCUCCGCUCCGCUUUAUGUCGCCGUGUCCUUGUAAUGGCUCCCUGCUCCUCACUUAACACAGCCGCGCCUAAUCCCAGAGCCAGGACAAAUGGCGUUACUGUCAGCCCAGUCCCCUCCCUGGGAGGGGGUGGCCCGGGGGCACCCCGCGCCACCAACCACAUUCCCGGAAGCCUCCAGGCCUCCCCCAUACUGCAUCCCUUGCCAGAGGCCACCAAUCCCUACCAUCCUGAACCUCAGGAAGAGGAUGCCUCGUCUGACUCCAUCCCACGCCAGGGGACCCUACAGCAGGCAGGGACCCCACACCCUCACCCCCGCCCUGAGAGAGGUGGCUUCCACAGAAGAGGAGAAAGUAUGUCCCUGACCCUAUGCCGAUGGCCCUCACGUUCCUUUCAAGGGUGGCAGCCCGGAGUGGAUGAGCCCUUGCCGUCAGCAAGGGUAACUGGGCUCUGACUGCAGCUCUGCCUGACUUCCUAUGUGAUCAAAGCAGGGCCCGUCCCCCAAUCCAAAUCUCAGUUUCCCCACCUGUCCUGAGAUGAAGAGGAAGCAGGACUGAUAGCCCCUACAGGGCCAGCAGGUGGUCAAAGUGCCUCAUUUUGGCCCCCACCCCAGCUGCCAGGCCCUUGUCACUGCCCCCACCAACCCCAACAGAGGAGAAAGAAGGGUAACUGCCAGAGCGCGGAGGCUCUAGAGUGGAAAAGGGCCUUAACAAAGCCCAGAGAGGAGAGGCAAUUGGGCCAUGGUCACAUAGGCAGCUGGACAAGGGCCAGGCUAGCCUGGGUUUGCUCUUCAGCUGCAAACAUGUAAGAGCAUUCACCUGCGAACAUAUCUGCCUUUUUAGAGGAUGCCAAGGAGAGCACGAGAGGAUAGAAUUUCGGGCUCCAAGAGUAGCAGUUGGGUGGGGGGGCGUUAAUGACAUGUUUGAACGUAUAGGGUCCGGGGAUUGACACUGCUGACUGUCCAAGGCUACUCACAUCACACCACAAGGGUGGCCCAAGCUCCUGCCAGCCCGCAGUGAUCCCAGGAACUCCUGCAGGGAUAAGCAGCCUUGGCCACCUCAUAACAAGUCACCUGUGGCUCAGCGGUAGUGAUGGGGAGACUGGCCUAGAGGCACAAAAGCCUGGGGGAUGCUGAGAAGCCUCCGGGCCCCAUGGCCAGAGUGGAGGGAAGCCAGGAGCUCUGGGGUCAACAAAGAGGAAAGGAAAGCCUGAGGCACUUGGAGACCCAGAAGCCCCCUAGUCUCCUGGAGGCCUGGUGGGUACCAGCCAGGCCUGCUGAUACCAAGGAGGCUUUAUCAGGGCCCGCAUGAAAGCGCCCUCGUCCCUCCAGACUCGCUGGGGCUUGUCACCGCGACAGGAGUCUGCUGCCAACAUGCCUCCCCUCCCGGGUGAGGGCUCGAUGCUCACACGAGGCGCAGCUGGCAGGGGAAGGGGCAGCAGGUGGGGGAGGGGGAGGGCCUUGCUCUCUCUGGAUCACAGACAGCUAGAGAGCAGAGACAGAGUAAACAGCACCGGGCAGGUGACUACUUAUCCAAGGCCCCUUUUAAAGAGGCCAAGGGGCCUGGGUGACGCUCUACAAAGUACCCUGCAGGUGUCUGCACACCCCCAAGGCUUGGGGGCUGAUUCCUGGGGUCGGGAGACUGGUGUUCUAGUCCUCUGCUGAGCCAGGACGAGGCAUCCAGGCAGCAGGCGCCCGCUCUCUGGUGCUGGCGGGCACCUGCCCGGCACCAGGAGUCUCACUGCGGCACCUGAGUGCUCCUCUCAGUCUGCCUCUAAGUGCCUCCCUCACCUCACCCUAGGCCCAGCCUCCCACUAACCUGCCAGUAAGCUCAGCCAAGCACUCUCUCCUUGCUGUGUUCACCAGUAAAAUGGAAUGGUGCCAGAUGACUCCAUGGGCCAACCUAACCCCAAGCUGGGCAAUUCUGCAGGGAGCAUAACCGACCUCCCCUCUCAGCCCCAGAAACGGGCACAGUGGCGCCCACUCCCGCCAUCCAGAAGCCCAUCAGGCACCAUGCUCCAGGCAGAAAGCAUGGUAUAACACCUCUAUGUAACCGUGUGCUCUGUCCUUUCCCAUAUGCUUGGCCUCUGCUUCAUCAAGCCCUCGUUUCACAAAUGUGGAAAAUGAGGCUCACGGGAGUACAGCAACUGGCUCAAGCUUCCAGUCGGGAAGUGCUAAGCUGAGAUUCGAACCAGGGCCUGGCUGUAAUCCUGCAUUCCACGGGAUCCGCCAGAUGACCCAGAACUCACUACGGCUCAGAAGAUGCUACUGGGUCUUUGCACCUCCCACGUCUUUGAGGGUGCAAUGCUGAGGCUAAUGCAAAAGGCGGGCUGCCGGAGGUGGCGGGAGCAGAGGCAGGCACGGGAAGCCUGUGUGGGUGCUGAGCAUCUGCAGACUGACCAGCCUCCAGCCUGGCCAGCUGUCCACUACUGUGGCCACAAAGUCCUCGUCACCACCAGCACACCACCGCCACCACUGUGCCAUUUUUAAAUCAUCACACAAAUGCAAAGCUUUUUCACAGAUGCUACUUUGGCAUCACAUGACAAGCUUCUAAGAUCAUGGCAGGGAUUUCUUCCCUCUUUCUGCUAUGAGGAAAGUGGGGUUCCUGGAGGAAGAGUGACUUCCCAAGAAGUACACAGUGAGGCAAUGUUUGGCAGUGAACUUGAAGCCCACACCCUCUGCCUCAGGUCUGGAGCUCUGUCUACUCCUCCAUGCCCUUUUCAGUUCAACCAGCACUGAUGGGCCUAUGUAACAAAGGUUUUUUUUUUUUUUUUUUUAACCAUGCUGCAUGGCUUGUGAGAUCUCAGUUUCCUGAUGAGGGACUGAACUUGGGCCAUGGCACUGAAACCACUAACUCCUAACCACUAGACCACCAAGGAGCUCCCACUAACGAACGUUUCUGAGAGCUCAUUCUGUGCAGGUAUUCAGUUCAGUUCAGUCACUCAGUCGUGUCCGACUCUUUGCAACCCCAUGGAUUGCAGUACGCCAGGCCUCCCUGUCCAUCUCCAAUUCCCGGAACUUACUCAAACUCGUGUCCAUUGAGUCGGUGUUACACCCACACUUCACGUUAUUAUCUCAUUUAACCAUCAACACAGCUUCACAAACUACUGCCACUGUUCUCAUUUCAGACACUGCAGUUCAGAAACAUGGCGUAUCUUCCCCGGUUCACCAUUUUAGAAUGGGGCAGAGAGGAGAUUCAACCGGAAGUCAGUCUGGCUCUGAGGCCUGCCCUUGGAAUCUCUGUGCUCGCUCUGGGACCAGAGGGGAAAGGAGAGCAGACACACUCAAACAGCACGUGUGCCUGCAGGUUAUGGCGAGAUUAGGAUAACAGGAAGACAAACAAAGCUCUUGGAGAGCCCAGAAGAUGCAGGCUGUUACAAACGUCCAGGCAGGAGGCCAGGAGUCUGAGCAGGGGACAUG